GGAACCGACAGCAACGCACUCUACGCGCCUGCGCAGGGUCCCCUCGUCCUGCCCCAGCAGGCACGAAGCCACGCCCCCAAGGACGACCACACGCACGCGCGCUCCGUCACUCGCGGGCACGGACCCUCUCACCCUCACACUGGAGUCGCGAUGCACUGAGGCCCCGCCUCCACGGACGCUAGUACGCUUGCGCACUCUAUUCCGGUGCCUUAACCCGCACUGUAUCAGCCCAACACACGAGGGGAGGAGGCGACGCCCUUUCGGAUAAAGGCGUCCCAGCUUAUUGACAAACCUAGAUACUCCGAGUCCCCCGCCCGCCCCUCGCCGCCUAGUCCCGGGCCCCAGCUGGCCAGGAUCCCGUGGAACUCUGAGACCACAGCGGGGAGACUGCACAUGCGCACACGGAGGCUUCGACGACUCCCAGAAACCACGGCGGCGCGUGGGCGGUGCUGGAUGCGGAGGCGGGCACUUCCGGUCGUGCGGGCCCGGCGGCUCGUGGUCUGACGGGCGGCGUCGUCCGCUUUCCUGGGUGGUGGGUUCCCGACCCCGGCGGGGCGAGGGCGGCGGUGAGGUGUGGGUCGUGCUGGGGCGCGGAGGACUCUCUUCUUCCGCUGGAGAGGGACCCAGCGAAGUGGGCACUAGGCAUGUCACAGGUGAGUUUUUGUUUUAUCUUUGUUUCCUGUAGCAUCGUGUUUCUUCAGUCCUGGAAGCAUCGAGGCUGUCCUCGGGAGACUUGUUUGGGCAGUAGAGACUGACACAGGGACGAGAUCCGGGGCCUCUCGUUCCAGCAAAAGGUGGGACUCUGGGCGCCCCCUCCUCCGUGUCCCUCUCCUCUACUUUCAAUGUUCAUUUCUUAUUCACUGAAUUGUUCUGAAUCUCCACUGUGACCAUUCUUCUAAGCACUUUUUGGGGUCAAAGAUAUGGUUCCUGGAGGAAAAGAUAACAGCCUUAUCUGGAGACUCAUCAUCUUGAAGUAGAGGUGAGUUCUCAAGUUAUCUUUGACCUUCUUCACCCCCUGGGGAUCGAGAGGAAGCAAGAUGGAAAAUGCUGUUGCUUAGUUCAGUCCCAGUAAUGGUACAGCCGGCCUUUGGAAAAUUUGGGGAAGAGGAAUGUGAUUGGUGUCUGGAGCAUGGAAGUCCAGUUUAUCAGGGUCAGCACGUUUACUAGGGCACCAGUACAGGUUGAGGUUGGAUGGCAGGAGUCAGGCUUCAUCUGUGGGAUUCAGGCGAAGACCUUAUCUGCUCUCUGUAAAUGAGGAGCAAGGCAGUGUGCUGCACAGAAGAGGAUUGGAGAGCUGGCUGGGUUUCCUGGAGUAGGGCUCCGGACAGGGUGGUUGCAUGGGCCCUGAAAUUCAAUGCAGGUACAAGCAGAGUUGAGUCUUAGCCCUUUAAAUGUAGAAAACAAGGCAUUUUACUUUGAAAAACAGAUCUUUUUCUUCUCAAAGAGGAAACUCCUAUUUUCUUUCUUUUAGGAAAAGAGGCAGUAUUUUCUCUCCAUGUCCUGUUUGUUAUAAUGACUCAUGUUAUUCAUGAAAUUACUAAAUUACAUUUAAAGAGAAAACCAUAAAAAUAUUUCAACAAUCUUGUAUAUACCCCCAUGCAGAAAAUUUUUUUUUUUACCAUUUUACUUUUGCUUCUUUCUGUAUUUCAUUUUGACAACAUGAAAUAUCUAUGCCUACAGCUUUUUUAACAACUACUCCUUGUCACGUUCGUUCUCUACUUCCCUUACUCUUGAUAUUUUUGUACAUUAUCACUGUAAUUGAGAUACAAUUUACAGAUAUUAAAUAUGCAGUUUGGCUAUUGAUUAUAGCUGUUGAUUACAGAUUAUUGAUUACAGCCCUGUAACCACCACUAAAAUCAAGAUAGAUUUCCAUCACUCCUGAAAGUUCUUUCAUGCCCUUUUCCCUGCCCUCACUCUCAGAGAAAACCACUUUCUUGUUUUUAUGACAAUAUUUUUGCCUUUGUUUCUUUCUUUUAACUUCAUAUAAAUGGAAUCACACAGUAUGUAUGUUUGUGUUUGGCUUCAUUCAUUCAACAUAGGUUUUUUGAGAUUCAUUGAUGAUGUCUAUUAGGUUUUUUUGUUUUUGGGGGGUUUCUGAUGGUGAGGAAGAUUGGCCCUGAGCUAACAUCUAUGCCAGUCUGCCUCUAUUUUGUAUGUAGGACUCUGCCACAGCAUAACUGGAUGAGCAGUGUAGGUCCAUGCCCAGAGCUCACGAACUUAACCACUAUACCACUAGACCAGAUAGAUAGAUUUUUGGUGACAAAGUGUUAUUAAAAAUAAUUUAAUGGCUGCAAAUUUACUAAAAGUCAUUAAAUUAUACCCUAAGAAAUGAAUUUUAUGGUAUGUAAGUUAUUCCUCAAUAAAGCUAUUAAAAAUAAAUAACAUUUGGUAACAUUUGGUAACAGGUGAAAGUGAUAUAUUUCUGUUUCCACGGGAGUACCUUGGUGUUCAUCAAGUUGACACAACAGAAGAAAGCAGUUUAUGUGUUGGAGCUAGACUUUGCUUUAUCACUGUGAAGCAGAGAUCAUUCCAUGUUCAAUACAAUAAAGUUUCAGUGGGUUUUCACCUUACGUACUAUUGGUACAAAGAGAUGGUGCAGACAAGGUGUUAUCUGGAAAGGACAGCUAAGGGCAGUUACAGGUGGUUGAGAUCAUUGUGGAUCAUAGUUGUGUUAGGGCUCAGUGAGGUCCUGGGAUGUUGGAAAGCCAUGAGCUAGGCAUGAGCCAGGCAUGAGCUAGGCAUCUUGAGUCCAUCUCCUGAUUCAUUCUCCACAAGCAGCUGAAGGUGGAACCUAACUCCUUGUUCCUGUUGCAGGCCCUGAAGAAGGCAGAUGAGGUGAAAUUGUAACACAUCUGCAGUUUUCUGAGGCACGUUGUCUCCAACAUUUAUUGCUACACAACAAACUCUCCCGAAAAUGUAGUAGCUAGAGCAAGGACCAUUUUAUUAUUUCCUGUAAUUCUGUGGGUGAGAAAUUCAUACUGGGCAUGUGAUGUCUGCUGGGGCUGGAAUACCCAAGAUGGCCUCUUCAUUCACACCUGUGAUACUGAGCUAGAAUAGCUGGGGUCCUAUGUCUAGGCCUCUAUUUUUGCUGCCAGCUGGGUUCCUCAGCUUUAUUCCUUGUUCUCAGAACCUGUCCCUCUUCAAUUGACCCCUUCUUAUGCCCUUUCCAGUGGGAUGGCUCGACUACUUGCCCUGAGUUUCCAUGAGCAUAAAAUAGAAUAUGCCAAGCCUUCUUUCUGUUUUGACCUAGAGCUGGCACAGCAUCUCUUGCAUCACAUUCUGUUAAUUAAAGCAAGUUGUAGACCCAGUGCAGAUUCAAGGAAAGGGAGACUGCAUUUCAUUUCAGCGAGUGAAUUAUCCUGAUAUGCACUCUAAAGAUCUACUAAAGGGAAUCUGUUUUUGAUUCCCUGAGGUAGAGUAUGUCUUCCCUCUUCAUCUGUGGUAAGGCUCUUUUUAACUAGUAAUCCUGUUUCUCAGCAGCAUGUCCUUUUUCCAUUCUGUCUUGUAUAAGGCUCUGUAUUUUUACAAAACACUAUUCUUUGAUACUGCUGUUUCUUUAUUGUAAAUAAAGUCUGAUCAUUUGAAUGCAUGUAUUCAUUGAUGAUUUAUUCACUAACAAACAUUUAUUCCUUUUUUAAAACUGGUCAAGUGUUGCGGGCCCCCAAGAUCACCCCCAGGUCCAAUAAUUGACUAGGAGUAGUCACAGGACUCGGCAUAUAGUUGUAUUUAUGGCUGCGGAUUUAGG
This 3745-nucleotide long non-coding RNA is filed under the name Equus asinus (donkey). RNAcentral describes it as "lncRNA (ENSEASG00005024975.1)". Lineage: Eukaryota; Metazoa; Chordata; Mammalia; Perissodactyla; Equidae. The record is from RNAcentral.